Long non-coding RNA from Canis lupus familiaris (dog), 599 nucleotides. RefSeq lists it as uncharacterized. The transcript is spliced from 2 exons. The record is from RefSeq and is a predicted model, not a curated record. Lineage: Eukaryota; Metazoa; Chordata; Mammalia; Carnivora; Canidae.
UCUUUCAAGGUCUUACAUGAUUCCAGGAGGGUCCUGCUCCUCCCCCUCCGGGCUCAGCCCAGGAGUAGAAUGGGGAUGUCUCCGGGAACCAGUGAUGUUUGGUGAUAAGCUCAAUUAGCGACACCCAUCUCUCCCAGGCCUUGGUGUACUCACCUACAAAAUGGUGCCAUGACAGCUGACCUCGGGUUGUAAGCAUUAAGGGAUCUACCAGUUGUGGUAAGAUACACGUAAAAUUUACCAUCCAGCAAUUGUUUUAUGUGGAGUUCAGCAGCGUUAAGUAUAUUCACGGUGUUGUGCAACCAAUCUCCAGAACUCUUUGCAUCUUGGAAAACUGAAACUCUACUAUUCCACACCAACUACCCAUGUGCUGCUUCCCAAGCCCUAGCAACUAGCAUUUUACCGCUUCUGUGAAUUUCACUACUCAGGAUACCUCGUUUAAGUGGCAUCGUAGAGUUCUUGCCUUUUUUGCAACUGGCGUAUUUCACUCAACAAAACCUCCCAGUGUUUGUCCAUGUUGCAGUAUGUGUUAGAAUUUCAUUCCUUUUUAAGGCUGGCAUUAAACACUCUUCAUGUUUAAUUAAACAUCCACUUGAAACUUU